GGCCCCGUGGCGUAAUGGUUAACGCGUCUGGCUUCGAUUGCCGAGGACGCACCAGAAGACUGCCGGGUAUGUGCACGAAUACUCGGGCACAGAUUCUUCCCAUUUUAACGCUGGUCCAAAUAGUUCAAGUCCGACCGAGGCCU
Molecule: transfer RNA, 143 nt
Filed under: Cyphobasidiales sp. Tagirdzhanova-0007
Lineage: Eukaryota; Fungi; Basidiomycota; Cystobasidiomycetes; Cyphobasidiales
Description: tRNA-Arg
Rfam family: tRNA
About the family: Transfer RNA (tRNA) molecules are approximately 80 nucleotides in length. Their secondary structure includes four short double-helical elements and three loops (D, anti-codon, and T loops).
Source: RNAcentral